CACGUCAAUCAAUGGCUGGGAUACUGAUCCCACUGUCAAGCAAUAAGCCAUCGUCUAUUUUUCAUCGUUUUUUAUAUAUAUAUGGCCAUCAAGGCGCAGAAUCCGCACAGACUAUAGCGCUCAGCUCAUAUUGGUAUUUAAUGGGCAUCCUCCGAGGAGCCAGUCACUGAAACGCAGUCUUGGAUGAAGAGGACAGAGGGGCACCACUGAUCCCACAACAGACCGUAGCAGAGAUGAACGUGCAGAAGUUCGGACCUGCCGACCGGGUCACGGCACCACCAGAGAGAGCGUGGAGGAGCUCGGGAAGCUGGCAGCAGACGUGAGAAGCGAGGAGCAGCCAUCCCUGAGGUGUGUCUAUACGAGAAGCAUCCAGGUGAGUCGUAUUCUUCUCUACCUGCUCCUGCUGUUCUGAGCCGCAGGCACCUGGCCAGAUAUCAGCGGCCUGCACCCCAGUCAAGCCACCGUCCCACACCACGGAGAACUUCAAUUACAGCGGGAUUCUCGGAGCAGAGAGCGAAGGGGGUCGCAUUGAUUGAGGAGGGCAACAAUUGAUUUUGUCCAUUACGUGGUGAGAAUGUUUCCAUCCUGCGCAGAUCAGGCUGCCCUCCUCCUGUGGGUGGAGAUAAGAGGCCGCUGCAUUGUGGCUGCCUAAUCUGUGUGACGGCGCUUGUCUGUGCUGAAAUUGAUGUGGCUUUUCAUGCGUCCGCGUGUGGGUCUGUGUGGUGGGGGUCUGUUCCUCCACACCCCCGUCUCAGAUCCACUCAGAGCGCUGAGUGCCGCUCACAUCAGCAAACAUGAGGGGGAUUUGCAUCGAUACAGAUAUUUGCCUUGUAUUUGUUCCACAGGAUGUUUGUAAAGAGAAUAAAGCCGUUUGUAAUGACUUGUUGAAUUCUUGAGCCUUUUAUUGUCCUUACAGUGGGAUGUGGGUCAGAAGAGGGUGAGAAGUAUUAAUACAAAGGAUUUAAAUGUUAAUCUGUAAAUAGGAGUUUUAUAGAGA
This is a long non-coding RNA of Cyprinus carpio (common carp), 997 nucleotides long. RefSeq lists it as uncharacterized. The record is from RefSeq and is a predicted model, not a curated record. The transcript has 4 exons. Lineage: Eukaryota; Metazoa; Chordata; Actinopteri; Cypriniformes; Cyprinidae.